RNAcentral lists this ribosomal RNA (254 nucleotides) under uncultured prokaryote. Its description in RNAcentral is "partial 16S ribosomal RNA". It matches the Rfam family "Bacterial small subunit ribosomal RNA", at positions 524 to 777 of the family's 1533-position model. The record is from RNAcentral.
UACGGAGGAUGCUAGCGUUAUCCGGAUUUAUUGGGUUUAAAGGGUGCGUAGGCGGCUUUUUAAGUCAGCGGUGAAAUUUUGCAGCUUAACUGUAACAGUGCCGUUGAUACUGGGGAGCUAGGAUUUGGUUGCUGUGGGUGGAAUGUGUGGUGUAGCGGUGAAAUGCUUAGAGAUCACACAGAAUAUCGAUUGCGAAGGCAGCUCACAAAGCCAAGAUUGACGCUGAGGCACGAAAGUGUGUGGAUCAAACAGGA